This 20-nucleotide transfer RNA is filed under the name Aegilops columnaris. Its description in RNAcentral is "partial tRNA-Met". The record is from RNAcentral. Lineage: Eukaryota; Viridiplantae; Streptophyta; Magnoliopsida; Poales; Poaceae.
GGGUUCGAUUCCCACUACCG